GGAAUACAGUGUAAACUUUGCAAAUUUGCUCACGGUAGCAGAGAGGUCCUCCUGAAACACUACAGGUUUCACCACUAUCAAGGGCGAUCCUGGCAGCAGCCUUGCCUGUAUACUGACUGCAUCUGCACUUCCAAAACUAUAGGAAAGGGAUGCAUUACAGGAGGAAUUGAAGAAGAAACAUCUCAACAUGGCAUUUGUUGACUCGAAAAUGGAAUUGACAUUCUCAUUGAGAAGGAAGGAGAUAGUUGAAGAAGAACCUCUUGUAGCUGAUGUACUAAGACAAUGGCCAGCAUUGUUUUUGGAACAUCAGAUAUGUACUGAGUUUUACAGAAUCACAGAAACAAACCUGAAGAGUACAUUUUUCUCUUCUCUGGAUGAAUAUACACCACGGAUGAUCAAGUUGUAUAGGGUACGCGGCGGAGCAUAUGGAGAUAAUAUGAAGACCCUCCUAGACCAACUUGAUAAUCAGGUAAUUAUUUAGAUUGUGUUCCUAUAUCUCUCGU
This is a long non-coding RNA of Sinocyclocheilus anshuiensis, 503 nucleotides long. RefSeq lists it as uncharacterized. The transcript has 3 exons. Lineage: Eukaryota; Metazoa; Chordata; Actinopteri; Cypriniformes; Cyprinidae. The record is from RefSeq and is a predicted model, not a curated record.